GCUUGUCUCAAAGAUUAAGCCAUGCAUGUCUUAGUGUAAAUAACUCUUAUGAAACUGCGAAUGGCUCAUUAAAUCAGUUAUCGUUUAUUUGAUGGUCCCUUACUACAUGGAUAACCGUAGUAAUUCUAGAGCUAAUACAUGCACAAAGGCCCGACUCACGAAGGGCUGUAUUUAUUAGAUUUAAAGCCGACAUCUUUUGGUGAUUCAUAAUAACUUUUCGAACCUCAUGCCUUUAUGGUGGAGGUGAUUCAUUCAAAUUUCUGCCCUAUCAACUUUCGAUGGUAGUCGCCGUGCCUACCAUGGUGACCACGGGUGACGGGGAAUCAGGGUUCGAUUCCGGAGAGGGAGCCUGAGAAACGGCUACCACAUCCAAGGAAGGCAGCAGG
This 386-nucleotide ribosomal RNA is filed under the name uncultured Cryptomonadales. Its description in RNAcentral is "partial small subunit ribosomal RNA". It matches the Rfam family "Eukaryotic small subunit ribosomal RNA", at positions 30 to 432 of the family's 1831-position model. Lineage: Eukaryota; Cryptophyceae; Cryptomonadales. The record is from RNAcentral.